Molecule: transfer RNA, 73 nt
Filed under: Metabacillus litoralis
Lineage: Bacteria; Bacillati; Bacillota; Bacilli; Caryophanales; Bacillaceae
Also listed under: 1 other name
Description: tRNA-Gly
Rfam family: tRNA
About the family: Transfer RNA (tRNA) molecules are approximately 80 nucleotides in length. Their secondary structure includes four short double-helical elements and three loops (D, anti-codon, and T loops). Further hydrogen bonds mediate the characteristic L-shaped molecular structure. tRNAs have two regions of fundamental functional importance: the anti-codon, which is responsible for specific mRNA codon recognition, and the 3' end, to which the tRNAs corresponding amino acid is attached (by aminoacyl-tRNA synthetases). tRNAs cope with the degeneracy of the genetic code in two manners: having more than one tRNA (with a specific anti-codon) for a particular amino acid; and 'wobble' base-pairing, i.e. permitting non-standard base-pairing at the 3rd anti-codon position.
Source: RNAcentral
GCGGGUGUAGUUUAGUGGUAAAACCUCAGCCUUCCAAGCUGAUGAUGAGGGUUCGAUUCCUUCACCCGCUCCA